Molecule: long non-coding RNA, 10496 nt
Filed under: Capsicum annuum
Lineage: Eukaryota; Viridiplantae; Streptophyta; Magnoliopsida; Solanales; Solanaceae
Description: long non-coding RNA (CANN_LNC016777)
Source: RNAcentral
CUAAAACUGCGUUCCAAUGCCUUACCCGAUGCCUCGGGCCUUGAUCACGAGCCUCCUCUGCAUACAUGAUACUUCAGGGCAUUCCCUGGCCAAAUGAAUACAUUAGAAUCAAGUACGGCCCACGCACAUUCAAACAUUCAACCAGACACAAGUUCUAAAUUUUCCCACCCACACCUAUAUUUGCCUAUCUGUUUCAACAAAAUUCAUGCUUAUUCCAAAUUAAACCGCUAAUAAUGAAUUAAAACAAAUACGUAUUCACAUUUAUCAAUUUUAAUUACGCCCCAAACAAUCAAUUUUAAUUCUCAAAUGAGAUGCUAUUUCACCAUGCAAAUCAUAAUCAAAGGAACCAACCGCUAAUCAAAACAAAUACGCAUUUAUCACCAACAAGGAUCAAAUAAAACAUACAAUAUUUAAUCCAACACACCAAAAUAUAGUAAAUAAUGAAAUAAAAAGAGAGAUAAUAGAAUUGGACCUCGAUUCGUAGCUUUCAAACUCAAUGUUAUUCGAAUAAAGAAAAUCCACGCCCGGAAACCUCGAACCGAACCUCAAACAAACAAACUUAUCCAACUCAGAACUGAGAAUCACAGAAACAAAGAGACCUGGACCAGAUUCUCACGAACCCAUACAACCUCGAACUAAAAAUUAUGAGAAAUAAGAGAAAUUCGGACCGAUUCCAAUGGGUUUGGACGGAAUCAAAAGUAGAUCGAGGUUUGUUUGAUGAUUUUGUAUCGCUGUGACCCCGGUAAACUUUGGCUAUGACCAAAACGACAAAGAGAUAUCAAUUGAGACGUAUUCGAUGGGUUUUGAAUGAAUUUAUAACAGCUAGACGCGAUUUCGGUGAGCCUGUCACCGGAAUAGUAAUCAAACCACCAAAAUUGUGUUCCUCAAGCUCUCACUCACUAAAAACUACUUCGCCAUCGUUCUCUUUUGAUUUCAAUCACGGAUCUCUCCCUCUCUCGAAGCUCUCUGUCACUCUCUCGCAGAUAUCUCUCUCGCAGAUCUCUCUCACUCUCUCGCAGCUCUUUCUUUCUCACAUCAUCUCUUAUCUAUCCAUUUCUGUAUGUAUCCCCGUGGAAUUAAGAGUGAACAGUGUAUGGGUGUGUGACGGUGAGGUCGAAGGAAUUGUGGUGAAAAAAUGGAGUCUCCGUGCUGUGUGUGGUAGCUAGUGGAGAGUAUUUUUUUGGUCCCCCCAAUGGAAAAUGGGAGUAUCUCCUUAUGUAUUGAUAAGAAUGGAAAAAUCUGUGGGCACCGUACCUUUUUUUUAUUUAUUGUUCAUUAAUUGUUAUGGAAAAGAAAAGGGUAAAGAAAACGUUAGUGGGGUGAGGGGUAGGGUAGGCGGGUAGGGUAAGGGUAGGUGGGGUAGUGGUUGUUUAUUUUUGAUUGGAUAGGUUGUUAGAAUAAAAAUAAAAUUAGUUAGGGGUUGUUAUUUUUUGUUCUUUUAUGGGAAAUAUUAGAUGGCUGAGGGUAUGUGGUUAGACGGGAUAAGAUAAUAAAAAUAAUUUUUUGAUGGGACAAAACUACGUGUCUACAUCAUGCCCCCUUUGAAUGUAAACACAAAGUGUUUUCAUACAAAGAAGUCAACAACGAGACGGAAUUUUGUCCCGAUCAUUAUUCAAAAGAGGAAAUAGAAGAAAAAAGGACAACCGCAUCUUUGACUUAGGACACUCCCACCUACCCAAGUUAUAAGGGAAUGAAGUAACAGGUAUCUUAAAGGAUUGGAAGGAGAAGGACUAUACCGAGUUGGAGAGUCGAGUGAGGUUCCAUCGAGGUUCCAUUCUACGGCUCUGUUAUUACAUCAAAAUGAAAAUUAAAAGUCAAGACAUAAAUGAAAUUACAAAAAUCCUAUCUAUGCAGCUUCUUUUGGAUUCCUGACUUGAGUUUCAUCAUCCUAUUCUUCAGGCGGGCUCCUGACUUGCAAUUUCUUCAACUUGUUGCUUGGCUUUCAAUUUCAUCACCCUGUUCUUCAGGCGGGAUCCUGACUUGCUAUUUUUCAAUUGUUGACUUUCAAUUUCUUUCUUUUGUUACUUGACUUUCAACUGUUUCACCUUGUUGCUUGCUUCCCAUGUAUUCGUCCUGUUCUUCAGGUGGGCUCCUGAAAUCACAUCAAAACUAAAAAAAAAUUAUCCCAAACAAAGAAAUGCAUUUUCUAUGAGUUAAUUAAAAUGAUUCGACUAGAAGGUACAUCUUAUAGGAAUCAAAGAGGAUGACUCAACUAAAAGGUAUGUCUUAUAGGAAUCAAAGAGGAUGACUCAACUAAAAGGUAUGUCUUAGAGGAAUCAAAGGGAAUGACUCGACUAAAAAGUAUGUCUUAUAGGAAUCAAGGAAGAAUAACUCGACUAAAAGGUACGUAUUAUAGGAAUCAAAGGGGAUGACUCGACUAAAAGGUACGUCUUAUAGGAAUCAAAGGGAAAUGACUCGACUAAAAGGUACGUCUUAUAGGAAUCAGAGGGGAUGACUAGACUAAAAGGUACGUCUUAUAGGAAUCAGAGGGAAUGACUCAACUAAAAGGUACGUCUUAUAGGAAUAGAGAUAACUCAACUAAAAGGUACAUCUUAUAGGAAUCAAAGAGGAUGACUCGACUAAAAGGUACAUCUUAUAGGAAUCAAAGGGGAUGACUCGACUAAAAGGUACGUCUUAUAGGAAUCAAAGGGAGAUGACUCGACUAAAAGGUACGUCUUAUAGGAAUCAGAAGGAAUGACUCGACAAAAAGGUACGUCUUAUAGAAAUCAAAAGGAAUGACUCGACUAAAAGGUAUGUCUUAUAGGAAUCAAAGGGAAUGACUCGACUAAAAGGUACGUCUUAUAGGAAUCAAAGGAAAUGACUCGACUAAAAGGUAUGUCUUAUAGGAAUCAAGAAAGAAUGACUCGACUAAAAGGUACGUCUUCUAGGAGUCAAGGGGAUGACUCAACUAAAAGGUAUGUCUUGUAGGAAUCAAGGGAGAUGACUUGACCAAAAGGUACGUCUUAUAGGAAUCAAAGGAAAUGACAGGCUAAAAGGUACGUCUUCUAGGAGUAAAGGUUCAAUUUAAGAAGUGUAUCACCUAGAAAAUGAAAACUGAAUUCCCUGGAAAAGAAAGUGUCUUCGAGGGAUAUAGGAUGAUGAAUUUUUACCAUGAUUUUAUUAUCAAACCUGUGCAGCAAUAUUGCUUUCUGCAUUUGUAAAAGUGAGGCAUUGCAACCCUUGAUAUUUAUGCUCUGAAGUCCCUGCUUUGAAGGUAAUAUGUUUCCUGUUUCAUCAAAGAAAACUUGUGAGUUUAAAACAUGGUGGCUGGUUUGUGGCUUUAGCUUUCGCGGAAAUCGCUCUUGCUCUGGUCACAUUUAACCUUACUUCCCACCAUUAGCAUAUGACAGUGACUUGCUGUAUCAUUGACCCAAACUCAGAUUAUUAAGAGUGGCUCUGAAACAAACAUAGUAUUUCCAUUUUUCCAUGCUUCUCAAAUAGACCCUUUCAACCUUGAUAUUUUCAUGAGUUCCCAGACUUGUCUGUUGACACAACUUUCUACAUGCCCCUUUUCUCACUUGUUUUGAUAUAGACUUGACGAAAAAACAAUAGAAAAAUGACAACAACUUUUUUUUAUUUGGGUAAAUGACUCAAGAAAAUAAAAAUAAAAAUAAAGAGAAGAAAGAAAAGACAAUGAAUAUCCCCAUUUGAAACAAAUAAAUGAAAAAUUUAUCUAAAAUGACAAUCAACUCUAAUGAUUAUGCCAUGCAUUUGAAUUAAGCUGCCUGAUCUUUGCAUCCAAACUUUCUACCAAUUGUUGUUGAAGUAAUAACUCUGAAUUUGAGUUACUUCCUUGGGCCAGUACAUUCGGAGACCUUAUUCGGCUAGUGGCGCCUUGAAGGGUUUUCGCCAACAAGCUUCUCUUAUUUUCUUUUCCUCAACUCAUCAUCGCCUUAUGGUGCCCAUGAGGGUUUUACCAAUAAGGCUCUCUCAUUUUUAUUUCUCUCAACUUACCAUCAUCUUACGGUGCCCGAAAGGGUUUUCACCAAUAAGACUUUCUCAUUUUUAUCUCUCUCAACUUACACCAUUGAGACUCUUUUUUUUUCACUUUUCUCUUGAUUUCUUAUGCUGAGGAAGACGUGCAGUUCCCAAAAUGCGUCAUCAUAUGCAUUGCAUACUUAGCCUUAACAUUUUUAAAGAUUGAUCUGAAGGUCUUUCUUUGGUUGUAUCUUGGCUUUUGGAUAAGGUUAGAAAGAAAGAAUGACAUGAGGCCCAAACGACACUUGAAGUGGGGUAGGACUUACAUUUUUUGGAAUCGACUCAAACAAUGAGGAUUAACUCAUGCCCCAGUUUCUUUUGACUGGGUGACACUAAAUUGUUUAUUUGGUUGGACCGAGUUCUUAGUAGGGCAGCCUACGUAUCUCAGCCUCGAGAGAGGAUAAUCAGGUCAUGCGUAGUUCUGGCAGCUUGUUCUUUUGCUUGAUUCUAAUUUCCUUUUCUUUUCUUUGAUUGACUCUCUUUUUGGGAUUUUUCUGACUCUAUUUUGCUUGACACUCUUUUUUCUUUUUGGACACAUUUUUUUAUAUACCUUUUGACUCUAUUUUUCGCUUGACACCCUUUUUUUAGCUUUGCUGACUCUAUCUUGAUUCCAAAAAAAGAGUAUGAAAGAAAAUAGGACAAAAGCUCAAAUGGGGUAAACAAAGGAUGAUACGAUGUUUGGAUAGUAGAAUGAAGUGCCUUCGUCAUAUCAAUCCAUGAAAAAUGCAAGUACAUAUCAUGCAAUAUGAAAGUGAGAGAUGAAGAUCAUUUGUGAUAUUUUUUUAUGGCACUAAUUUUAACUGAGACUGUGCGUUGCUACUUCUUCUGCAAACUCCAUCUUUGUUGUACAUUCCUCAUGCUUUCGUGGAGCUAAUUUUUCUAUUCCUUUUGAUGUAGGGUCACACAUUUACUACUUGACCUAAUUGAGAUAUGUCUUUCAAUUAAUGACCAAGUUUUUCUCACAAUUCUCAAAAUAAUUGUCUUAAUUUUCAAAGAGGCUUCAACUUAAUCACCAAAUGCCCCAGCUCUCUAUCUAUUUUCUCAAAUGCUCUCUUUUCUAACUUUAACCCUCUAAUUCAAUGUUCAUGCUUAAACUGGAUUUUAAGAUCUGGCUGAAAAUUCCGCAAGCAUGUCAUAUCAAUAGAGUCAACAUAAAAUGUACUAUAUAAAGAAAACAAACAAACAACACAUAUUUUAGAACACAAAAGAAAAAGGGGACACUUCGUUUAGUUGAAACAAAAGAUAGAAGGGUUUGAACAUAAACAACAAAAGGACAAAAUAAGAUAGAUUCGAAACUAUAACCCUGAAAUAAUUCGGAUGACAGAAAAUAAAUCAAAACAAGCUACCAGACCCCUUCCUAGUAAGGAGAGGGGUAACUUCUCAAUUGCUCAACCUGACAUCUUAGCCACUGGUUUGCAUAUCAGCAUGACUAGAGCUUUCCUCACUGUCAAUGUUCUGCACCAUGAUUGAUUUAUCUUGAAUCAUCUUUUCAAUUUCUCUUUUCAAAGCAAGACAAUCUUCAAUACUGUGACCCUGAACAUUAGAAUGAUAUACACAUCGUACAUUAGGAUCUAAACUUCUUAAAUGUGGGUCAGGAGUAUACCCAAGGAGAGGAGUGAUCAUGCCCUAUUGAACCAAUCUCUGGAAUAAACUUGCAUACAACUCUUCAACUAGUGUGAAGCUAUCCCUUAACUUCUGUCUUAUUUCAUUGUUUGGCUUAAAUUGAAAACCAGGCCUAGAAGGGCUUCAGUAUGUAUGUGGAGUUGGAAGAUGACUCGGCAGAGUUGGCGCACGCCAGUGUGGGUAAGAUAGAGGUUGAACAUAAGGUUGCACAUUAUACACUUGAUAUGGAGGUGGGGGAAUGGGAUAUAAUAGAUUUUGGUAAAGGUUCUGUGGAGCUUGGGCAUAAACUUGGGUUUGAGCUCGUGGGUAACGAUUGUCUCCCCCAUUUUGAGGACCUCAAUAAAUGGCUUGCCUAAUGUAGGUAACAAGUGUUGAUAAUAUGUUUCAUCCUGUGCUUGAAUAAACGUCUCCACUAUCUUACUUUCUUUCAUUGGUGGUUUCACCCUUGCAGCUUGUUCAUGCCAUCUAAUCGCAUACUCUCUGAAAGUUUCAGUACUCUUUUUCUUCAUAUUAGUUAGGGAUUUUUGGUCAGGAAUCAACUCCAUAUUGUAUUGAAAUUGUUCCACAAAUUCAUUAGCCAGGUCAUCCCAACUAUUCCACUUGUCAAUGUCUUGCUCAACAAAUAAUUCUGAAGCUAGACCUAAAAGACUCUCACCAAAAUAUGCCAUGAGUAAUUCUUCCUUCUCUCCAGCGCCCCUUAGCUGGUUGCAAUAGCAUCUCAAAUAUGCUAUAGGAUCGCCAUGUCCAUCAUACUUCUCAAACUUUGGCAUUUUAAAACCAAGAGGAAGAUGUACACCUGGAAACAUGCACAGAUCUUUAUAUGAGACACUUUUGUACCCCCAAGUCCUUGCAAGUUUUUUAUAGUCAGUUCUAAACUUCUGAAUUUUUUGGCCAUUUCCUCUUGUUCUUCUAUCAUAACAGGCUUCUCAGUGUUAGGAGAAAAUUCAAAUAGUUGAGGAAAGUCAUAAGGACCGGUCGAUUUAAAUGUGGGCUCGGGAGCAUAAUGUUGAUUACUAAAAAUUUUCAAUAUAGGGUCGCUUGUAGAGUGAGGAAUCACAAUCGUUGGAUUGACAUUAAAAGUAGGAGCUUCAGACGAGAGUGGGGCUGCAAAAGCAUGGAUAGCAGGCAGAGACGAGCAUGUGGUAAUUUUGUAUUGAGAAGUGAGGAAAUAAAUAUUGGAAGUUUUUGGAUACUGUUUCCCCGGAGUAGGUCCUGAUGCAUGUUGUGGCGUGUCGACUGAAAUAGGAAAUUGUGCAUGUGACACUGGAGGCAAACUAGAAAGAUAUUCCAGAUUAUCAGUGGGAAAUGGAGGAGGCGGCAACCCAUUAGCCCAAGCUCGAUGCAUUUCUAUCAUUGCUGCUUUAAUUUCCAAAUCUCUUUAUUAGCUCCUACAUUCUCAUUCGUCGAACUCCCUAUCUGAUUAGUGACAACAAACUUGGUAUCCUUGUUGGCCAUAACUUUCUCUGUGACUUGGAGCAAUAUGGAGGACCAGCCAAAAUGCCACAAACCAACCACCUUAAACUAACUAGACAAGAGAUAGCAAAUGCAUUAGAGUUCAACAAUUUCUCAAAACCUCUUUUUUUCUUUUCUUGAAAAGAUCACCGAACCCAAGAAGGGCGCCUAUGUAUCUCGCCCCCGAGAGGGGAGAAUUAAGUAUGCGUAGUUCGUGAAGUCUUACCAAAAUGGCCAAUUAAACUCUUUUUCUUUCUUUUUCUUUUUCUUGAAACUUCAAAAAUAACAAAUUGUCAACGGAAUUGACAAAAAUCUUUUUGCAUUUUUCAGGUUUAAACUCCCUAUACAAAACGAAACCUAUGAUUACCAAAGAAAAAUCUUUUUGGGAUUUUUGGUUUUUGAAUUUCAUGUGAAAAUGAAACUUGAACCUAUUAAAGGAAAAUCUUUUUGUAGUUUUCUUUUGAAGAUGCAUAUGACACCUACUCCAAAUAAAGAGUGAAGAAAAAUAUUUUUAAUUUUUGAAAUAAGAUCACCGAACCAACAAUAGGUUGCCUACGUAUCUCACAUCCCGAAAGAGGAGAAUCAGGGGUGGGUAGUUCGUCCAGAUAGGACAAUUAAUGAUUAAAUAACCGACUGUACCCUGACUUGAGAGACGCAACCACAAAUAGAAGAUGAAAAACAUAAAUAAAAUCUUUUUGAGUUUUCAAUUUGACACUUAACCUAAAAAUGACACCAACAAAUAUGAAAGGAAAAUCUUUUGAUAUUUUUGUUAUAUGAAAUGUACAAAACUUCUACCAUUUUUUUUUUGCAUUUUCCUUUAUAAAAACCUUCUAUUGUAAAAAAAAUCUUUUUUGAAAAUUUCGAAUUAUGAAUUCAUGCUAAAGGAGACAAAGUGAGAAAUCUUUUUGGUGUUUUGGUUUUUGAACAAAUGAGUGCAGAGAGUAAAGAAAUCUUUUUGAAUUUUUGAAUUGUGAAAAAACAAAAGCCAUAAAGAACACUAAAAGCUACGAAACUCUUUUUUUUAAAUGGUUUCUUGUCUACAUACUUUACUUCUAACAUAUGCUUUCCCCAAAUCAGUCCGUCAAAUGACCAUAUUACCCUCAAAGAUGCAACAUUUAGCACAUAGAGAUGCUUUACAGGCGAGUCUCCUACAAAGGGCCAAGUGGGCCCCUCUAGGUCUUCAAUAUGAUGCACAUAAGAAUGACCUAAAGGCUGACCUAUGUUGUGGUUUACUAACAAGACCGUUCGGGGGAGCAUAUGGUCGAUAGUGGUUGAUUUGCUUUCCACCUACUCCAUGCAUCCAAUGGCUUUCCCCCUAAAAUAAGGGUUACUUAACUAGAGUUCGUGCGCACGACGUGCAUUCCGGAACUUGUUGCAGAAAGAAUUGACUCGGGUUAUGCAAAUGAUGCCAGAUAUGAAGCGGUAACACAUAAAGAAAAACUGUAAACAAAGAGCACAUAAACGCACAACAGUGAUAACAAUAACACAAACAAUAAUCACAAAUAAUGUUUAUACACCCAUAAUGCCGAACAAAGUCAAUAUGACUGCAAAAAUAAGCUCGAAUUCUGAAAAGUCCCCAGCAGAGUCGCCAGAGCUGUCAUACCCCCUUUUUUACCACUCCAAAAGAUUUGAUUUUAGUUCGAAAGGAUUUUUACUAUUAAAGUGACAAAAUGAAGAUUUGUUCCGAAAGGACUUCUUAUAUUCAAAACUCAGAGUCGCCACUUGGCAUAAAUCGGGUAUGCCAAGUCACCUUUGAAAAUCCCUUUCAAAACAAUUUGACUCUUUAAACUGGUUUGCGAACAGAGAUUCUGGCUAAGGAAUUCUGUUGACCAAGGGGAAGGUGUUAGGCACCCCUCGAUCCCGUGGUUCGACCACGGUCGCUUGAUAGAGCGUAUCGGCUAAUUUGACAUUAUAAAUGUAUAAACCACACAAAGCAUGCAAAACAAUCAAUCAAGAAAACAAAAUGAAACAAAUCAAAAUUUAGUUUCCAGUCCAAUUAUACAGUCCAAAAUAGAAAAAUGCGUAAAAUAUAAAUCCUAUUUUAAGCAAAUCCUAAAACUGCGUUCCAAUGCCUUACCCGAUGCCUCGGACCUUGAUCACGUGCCUCCUCUGCGUACAUGAUACUUCGGGGCAUUCCCUGGAUAAAGCAAUACAAAUCUCUCGGGUCAUUCCCCGACCAAAUGAAUACAUUAGAAUCAAGUACGGCCCAUUCACAUUCAAACAUUCAACCAGACACAAGUUCUAAAUUUGCCUACCCACACCUACAUUUGCCUAUCUGUUUCAACAAAAUUCAUGCUUAUUCCAAAUUAAACCGCUAAUAAUGAAUUAAAACAAAUACCUAUUCACUUUUAUCAAUUUUAAUUCCGCUCCAAACAACCAAUUUUAAUUCUCAAAUGAGAUGCUAUUUCACCAUGCAAAUCAUAAUCAAAGGAACCAACCGUGAAUUAAAACAAAUACGCGUUCAUCACCAACAAGGAUCAAACAAAACACACAAUAUUCAAUCCAACACACCAAAAUACAGUAAAUAAUGAAAUAAAAAGAGAGAUAAUAGAAUUGGACCUCAAUUCGUAGCUUUCAAACUCAAUGUUAUUCGAAUAAAGAGAAUCCGCGCCCGAAAACCUCGAACCGAACCUCAAACAAAUGAACUCAUCCAACUCAGAACUGAGAAUCACAGAAACAAAGAGACCUGGACCAGAUUCUCAUGAACCCACACAACCUUGAACUAAAAAUUAUGAGAAAUAAGAGAAAUUCGGCCCGAUUCCAAUGGGUUUGGAUGGAAUCAAAAGCAGAUCGAGGUUUGUUUGAUGAUUUUGUGUCACUGUAACCCUGGUAAACUUUGGCUAUAACCAAAACAACAAAGAGAUAUCAGUUGAGAUGUAUUCGAUAGGUUUUGAACGAAUUUAUGACAGCUGGAUGCGAUUUCGGCGAGCCUGUUGCCGGAACAGUAAUCAAACUAUCAAACUCAUGUUCCUCAAGCUCUCACUCGCCGAAAACUGCUUCGCCAUCGUUCUCUUUUGAUUUCAAUCGCAUAUCUCUCCCUCUCUCACAGCUCUCUGUCACUCUCUCGCAGAUAACUCUCUCGCAGAUCUCUCUCACUCUCUCGCAGCUCUCUCUUUCUCACAUCAUCUCUUAUCUAUCCAUUUCUGUGUGUAUCCCGGUGGAAUUAAGAGUGUGAAAUGUAUAUGGGUGUGUGACGGUGAGGUCGAAGGAAUUGUGGUGAAAAAAUGGAGUCUCCGUGCUGUGUGUGGUAGCCAGUGGAGAGUAUUUUUUUUGGUCCCCCAAUGGAAAAUGGGAGUAUCCUCUUAUGUAUUGAUAAGAAUGGAAAAAUUUGUGGGCCCCACGCCUCUUUUUUUUUUUUUAAUUGUUCAUCAAUUGUUAUGGAAAAGAAAAAGGUAAAGAAAACGUUAGUGGGGUGAGGGGUAGGGUAAACGGGUAGUGUAAGG